AUGAGUGGCGAACGGGUGAGUAACACGUGGGAAACCUACCUCUUAGCAGGGGAUAACAUUUGGAAACAAAUGCUAAUACCGUAUAAUAAUUAAAACCGCAUGGUUUUAGUUUAAAAGAUGGUCUUGCUAUCACUAAGAGAUGGUCCCGCGGUGUAUUAGUUAGUUGGUGAGGUAAUGGCUCACCAAGACAAUGAUACAUAGCCGAGUUGAGAGACUGACCGGCCACAAUGGGACUGAGACACGGCCCAUACUCCUACGGGAGGCAGCAGUAGGGAAUCUUCCACAAUGGACGAAAGUCUGAUGGAGCAACGCCGCGUGUGUGAUGAAGGGUUUCGGCUCGUAAAACACUGUUGUAAGAGAAGAAUGACAUUGAGAGUAACUGUUCAAUGUGUGACGGUAUCUUACCAGAAAGGAACGGCUAAAUACGUGCCAGCAGCCGCGGUAAUACGUAUGUUCCAAGCGUUAUCCGGAUUUAUUGGGCGUAAAGCGAGCGCAGACGGUUAUUUAAGUCUGAAGUGAAAGCCCUCGGCUCAACCGAGGAAUUGCUUUGGAAACUGGAUAACUUGAGUGCAGUAGAGGAAAGUGGAACUCCAUGUGUAGCGGUGAAAUGCGUAGAUAUAUGGAAGAACACCAGUGGCGAAGGCGGCUUUCUGGACUGUAACUGACGUUGAGGCUCGAAAGUGUGGGUAGCAAACAGGAUUAGAUACCCUGGUAGUCCACACUGUAACGAUGAGUGCUAGUUGUUCGAGGGUUUCCGCCCUUGAGUGACGAAGCUAACGCAUUAAGCACUCCGCCUGGGGAGUACGACCGCAAGGUUGAAACUCAAAGGAAUUGACGGGGACCCGCACAAGCGGUGGAGCAUGUGGUUUAAUUCGAAGCAACGCGAAGAACCUUACCAGGUCUUGACAUCCUUUGACCACUCCAGAGAUGGAGCUUUCCCUUCGGGGACAAAGUGACAGGUGGUGCAUGGUUGUCGUCAGCUCGUGUCGUGAGAUGUUGGGUUAAGUCCCGCAACGAGCGCAACCCUUAUUGUUAGUUGCCAGCAUUUAGUUGGGCACUCUAGCAAGACUGCCGGUGACAAACCGGAGGAAGGCGGGGAUGACGUCAAAUCAUCAUGCCCCUUAUGACCUGGGCUACACACGUGCUACAAUGGCAAGUACAACGAGUCGCCAACCCGCGAGGGUGCGCAAAUCUCUUAAAGCUUGUCUCAGUUCGGACUGUAGGCUGCAACUCGCCUACACGAAGUCGGAAUCGCUAGUAAUCGCGGAUCAGCACGCCGCGGUGAAUACGUUCCCGGGUCUUGUACACACCGCCCGUCACACCAUGAGAGUUUGUAACACCCAAAGUCGGUGAGGUAACCUU
Molecule: ribosomal RNA, 1362 nt
Filed under: Weissella koreensis
Lineage: Bacteria; Bacillati; Bacillota; Bacilli; Lactobacillales; Lactobacillaceae
Description: 16S ribosomal RNA
Rfam family: Bacterial small subunit ribosomal RNA
Source: RNAcentral